Globicephala melas (long-finned pilot whale) is the source of this 1739-nucleotide long non-coding RNA. RefSeq lists it as uncharacterized. The record is from RefSeq and is a predicted model, not a curated record. NCBI's taxonomy places the organism in Eukaryota, Metazoa, Chordata, Mammalia, Artiodactyla, Delphinidae.
AACACCUCUCCAAAGAUUCUGUGAGCUGGACUUCUUUUGGUUCUUCUGAGUCACGCCAGAAUCCUGAUGGCCCGACCACUGACAAAGCAGCAGCAAGUGGCAAUAACUGAUGGUGGGCAUCAGGCGCUGGCCAGGUGAAAAGAUCUAAAGGUGUUCUGGUUCAGAAGAUGCAGAAUUACUACUCUCUGAAGUACUCAAAGGAACAUGUGUGACCCCUAGGUAGGAAUAUAGAAGAGGUAUUCAACUAUGUGGAUGGUCAACAUAUACGUCCUUACAGUUCUAGAAAGUGCAGGUUUGAAGAGUGUUCAAGACGUUCCAUGUACCUGGAUGAAAGGACUCUGAAGGCUGAAGAUAUUCAAGUUAACAAAAAAUACAAAUGGUUAUUUUUUUUUUUUUUGCUUUUUUUUUUUUAACAAAUGGUUAUUUGAUGGACUACUUUAAAAUACUGGGGAUAAUACAUAAAGUCCAUGCUUUGUUGAGGAAAAAAAACGGUUUAGGACAAAAUUUUAAAGUCAUUCCAUUCACUGAUGUUUUAAUACUGGUCACUGUAGAAUCUGUAAAUAAUCCAUGAAGUAUACAAUCUCAACAGCCAAAAAGUUAGUAGUACCAUUUCAUACCCUCUAAAAUUCUUUUUGGCUCAAGUCCCCAAAAUAUAUGGUAGUGAAUAUGUCAAAUGAUUUCUAUUUUUUAUCUUUUGAGAAUAUUUGGAUUUUCACCUCUGAGAAAGCAUAGAAUGUAAAAUUUCCACUUAGGGUCAAAAGAAAAUCAAGAAUUGCUGAGAGGCCCACAAAUGAUUAAGCUGCACCAAUAAAGAAUGUAUUAGAAAUAUAGAAACUUUACAUGCUAGGAGAGACUUUCCUGCUGAAUUGGGUUAACAGGUUCAGAUAAGCUUGUGGCUUAAGUACGUUCUUCACUACUUAGCUUUUUCCUUUAAGGACCCCUCCAGGUGUGUCUGCUGUGACAGCAGUUUUAGUACUUCACCAACAUAGUACCUUUUGAUUUCAUUUCAGCUGCUGUGAUUAAACAGACACACAUCACUUGCUGUGCCACAGUGAAAGAAGCUUGUGGUUCACCUUUGCUGAAUUAGUACCCACUGAGCACUGCAAAUAUUUAAAAUGUCAGUCCAUUAGAUAAUGUCAAAGAGGGCUGCAAAUACCACAAAAUGGCACCAAGGAAGCAUUCAACACAGACAAAAGAACAUUUAACACCUCUCUCCUUCAAGGUAAAAUGAGAGCUAAAUAGAAACAGUAAACCUCUGAUGAAGUUACUAAGAUCAGAAAAUUUAAUAACUGUAAGUGGGACACAGGCUUAUAACUCAUUCUUUCAGUACAUUCUCUCACAAAAAGUGUUCUAUUGCUGAUCUUAAACCCAGUGCUGUUGCAGGAGAAUUAAUUUAUAUUGACACAAGAUUAGGGAGUUCUUACAACAAAAUCCAUCUGGUGUCACUCUUAGGCAAUCUCCGGAUAGUUGUCCCAAGAGCCCAGCUUCAAGUGGAGACUUCAAAUUUCAAGUGACAUCUUUAUUUCAUGUUCAAGUAUUUAAUUCCAAAAGGCAAUAAGGGAAGACACCAUACCUGUGUGACAUUUGGAAAUGUCAGCAAAACCACAGACCACCCAGAACUUUCAUGAUCUUUCCAUAACCUGUUAUUCAACUCAAACCCAAAAUGCAACUAUGUUUUUGGAAUAUUUUUGUUUUGUUUUGAUUAUAAUUGACACACAAUGAAUAAAAUUUCAAACUUC